GACGAACGCUGGCGGCGUGCUUAGCACAUGCAAGUCGAACGGAAAGGCCCUGCUUUUGUGGGGUGCUCGAGUGGCGAACGGGUGAGUAACACGUGAGUAACCUGCCCUUGACUUUGGGAUAACUUCAGGAAACUGGGGCUAAUACCGGAUAGGAGCUCCUGCUGCAUGGUGGGGGUUGGAAAGUUUCGGCGGUUGGGGAUGGACUCGCGGCUUAUCAGCUUGUUGGUGGGGUAGUGGCUUACCAAGGCUUUGACGGGUAGCCGGCCUGAGAGGGUGACCGGCCACAUUGGGACUGAGAUACGGCCCAGACUCCUACGGGAGGCAGCAGUGGGGAAUAUUGCACAAUGGGCGGAAGCCUGAUGCAGCAACGCCGCGUGCGGGAUGACGGCCUUCGGGUUGUAAACCGCUUUCGCCUGUGACGAAGUGUGAGUGACGGUAAUGGGUAAAGAAGCACCGGCUAACUACGUG
Molecule: ribosomal RNA, 468 nt
Filed under: uncultured bacterium
Lineage: Bacteria
Description: partial 16S ribosomal RNA
Rfam family: Bacterial small subunit ribosomal RNA
Source: RNAcentral